GCUGUGAAUAAGUGACUGAAAUAAUGUCCACCAGGUAGCGCGAGUGUCUUCAGGGACGCUUAUCGGCCAUUUUGUUCCAAGACGCAGCAGAAAUGGGUUGUUGGUUGUGACGUUUCUCACGAUGAAAAUUAAAAGGUGAUUUAGCUCAUAGUAACCAAUUUGCCAAAUCAUUCAACUCAGACUUGGAAGUGCCUGUACAUUUCCGAAAUGGCGUGCCUCGUGUGUCUCGCUGCCUGCCUUAGACGUACGUCUCAUCGCAUGCAACAGCAAAAAGUAUAACAAACACUUCUUCAACGCUGUUGGUUACCUUGUUGCAGCCAAAUGGUGAAAGGUGUGACGAAGACAGAUUGAACCCUUGUAUGCAGCAUGCGGUUGCAGUGUAAUCCAGAAGUUGCUGUGCUGUUGUAGCUGAGCUGUUCCAUCUGGGUUCCUGACUUGAAAAUUUUUGUGUUGUCGUUUUUAUCCAUGCCAUGAAAUUUCUCUGUGUUAACUGUGUGCUGACUUAAAAGUUUGAUGUGUUGUCUUUCGAGUUUUCAUUCAAUCAUGCAGUAUACGACUGAGGCAACCUGAUCAAUAUCAGGUUUGACACAGUCGAGAA
This 598-nucleotide long non-coding RNA is filed under the name Daphnia pulex (common water flea). RNAcentral describes it as "uncharacterized LOC124194431". Lineage: Eukaryota; Metazoa; Arthropoda; Branchiopoda; Diplostraca; Daphniidae. The record is from RNAcentral.